This 679-nucleotide long non-coding RNA is filed under the name Ananas comosus (pineapple). RNAcentral's name for it is "long non-coding RNA (ACOM_LNC010693)". Lineage: Eukaryota; Viridiplantae; Streptophyta; Magnoliopsida; Poales; Bromeliaceae. The record is from RNAcentral.
UCUCCUAUUUUAAACUAUGGAAUCGGAAUGGAAUUCAUUGAUUCCGAUAGUUACCCUUUGUUUUACAGGAAUCGGAUUCCGACCAUUCCACUUUGGAAUGGGAAUGGUCAAAUCCAUUUAUGAUCCAAUCCGACUUUGAAUUCCAGAUUGGCUCAUUCCAAAGUAAACUAUUCAAAAUUCUCUUUCAUCAACACCUACCUCUUCUCCCUUCAUCACUUUCCUCUAUCUUAAUCAAAACCCUCUCUCAAAAAUUUUAAAUUUUCAUUCCGAUUUCCAUUCCAAUAAUGAACCAAACAUUUUUGGAUGAUUCGUCAUUCUAUUUUCCAUUCCAAAGCAAUCCAAUUUUAUUUUCCAUUUCUAUUCCAAUCAUGAACCAAACAUGCCCUUAUGAUCCAAUCCGGCUUUGAAUCCCGGAUUGGCUCAUACCAAAGUAAACUAUUCAAAAUCCUCUUUCAUCAACACCUACCUCCUCUCCCUUCAUCACUUUUCUCUCUCUUAAUCAAAACCCUCUCUCAAAAAUUUUUAAUUUUUAUUCCGAUUUUCAUUCCAAUAAUGAAUCAAAUAUUUUUGAAUGAUUCAUCAUUCCAUUUUUCAUUCCAAAGCAAUCCAAUUCCAUUUCCUAUUGCUAUUCUAAUCAUGAACCAAACAUGCCCUAAAAAUAAUUCAGUCUGAUCAUAAU